This 37-nucleotide ribosomal RNA is filed under the name Colletotrichum graminicola. RNAcentral describes it as "partial 28S ribosomal RNA". Lineage: Eukaryota; Fungi; Ascomycota; Sordariomycetes; Glomerellales; Glomerellaceae. The record is from RNAcentral.
UGACCUCGGAUCAAGUAGGAAUACCCGCUGAACUUAA